RNAcentral lists this ribosomal RNA (253 nucleotides) under uncultured bacterium. RNAcentral describes it as "partial 16S ribosomal RNA". It matches the Rfam family "Bacterial small subunit ribosomal RNA", at positions 524 to 776 of the family's 1533-position model. The record is from RNAcentral.
UACAGAGGGUGCAAGCGUUGUUCGGAAUUACUGGGCGUAAAGGGCGUGUAGGCGGCUUAGCAAGUCAGAUGUGAAAUCCCGGGGCUUAACUUCGGAAGUGCAUUUGAAACUGCUAGGCUAGAGUGAAGUAGAGGUUGGUGUAAUUCCCAGUGUAGAGGUGAAAUUCGUAGAUAUUGGGAGGAACACCGGUGGCGAAGGCGGCCAACUGGGCUUUAACUGACGCUGGGGCGCGAAAGCGUGGGGAGCAAACAGG